This is a long non-coding RNA of Hirundo rustica (Barn swallow), 5038 nucleotides long. RefSeq lists it as uncharacterized. The transcript is spliced from 2 exons. The record is from RefSeq and is a predicted model, not a curated record. Lineage: Eukaryota; Metazoa; Chordata; Aves; Passeriformes; Hirundinidae.
GUCUGCUGGCAGUGCUGUGAGAAGGAAGGGACAGGAGGUCGUGCCAGGGAAAGGAAGGAGCGAGCUAGAAAUGCAGAAAGAAGAGAGAAGGAAAGAGCCAGAGCUGUGUGGAGCAACUCAUGGGACUGCAACAUAGAAAAGUAUAAAGCCCUUCAUUUAUCUCAUCGGAUGUCCAAAGCCCAGCAGCACCACUCCAGAGAGAAACAAGCGCUGUGGUGCUCCGGGGGCUGCGCAGACCCCGCUCCCGGUCCCAACCCGCCGGCCAGAGGCUUCCCGUAUUUCAGCACACGGACACCCGAGCUGGACCGAAGAGGGGAACGGAGAUUGCCACCAACACGAACCUGAGGAGUUGUGCGGGUGCGGGGGGACACCUCGUGGGCAGCGCGGGAAGCUCGCCCGCUCCGGCCGCUGGCAGCCCGCGCCUGCCGCCCUCCGCCGGGGAGCCCCCGGACGUGCCCGGCCUCGCUGGACAGAGAGCAGAGACCCCCUGCUCCCAGCUGGGCUGGGCGAGCUGCGGGACUCCAGGGCUUAUGGAAGAAAUCGCAUUUCUGCGAUGGGUGUGCACUGACAGAGACUAGUCUCGCUUUAACAUACAUCCGGGAGCCACAGCCUCCAGCCUCAACAAAGUUCAGACACGAAACUGAGUUAGGGGAUGUUUAGGCUGGGUAUCAUGAAGAAACUUUUCACCCAGAGGGUUGUUAGGCACUGGCACAGGCUCCCCAGGGAAGUGGUCACAGCACCAGCAUGAGAGAGCUCAAGAAGCAUUUGGACAAUGGUCUCAGGCACAUGGUGUGACUCUUGGGGUGUCCUGUGCGGGGCCAGGAGCUGGACUCGAUGAUCCUGAUGAGUCCCUUACCAUUCAGCUUAUUCUAGAAUUCACAGAAUUCUGUGAAAGUUGUUCAGUGUAGAGCGUGUUUUGUGUCAGCAGGGAAGUGGACAGUGCCUCAGAACUUGCCUCAGAAGACAGGGAUAAAAACCAGCAUUGGAAGCAUAACCCAAAGCAGGGAACUCAACAAAGCCUCUCAAGCUGGAUGCUGUUGCCAUUCAGUGAUUUGAAUGGUGUGCCUCAUAGACCAUGUUCAGUUUUGGGCUCCUCUCUACAAGACAAAGAGUUUGAAGUUCUAGAGUGUGUCCGGAGUAGGAUGCUAGAGCUGGUGAAUUGGCUGGAGCACAAGUCUGAUGAGGAACAGCUGAGGCAGCUGGAUGGCUUAGCCUGGAGGAAAGAAGGCACAGGUGGCAUCUUAUUGCCCCCUACAAUCACCUGAAAGGUGGUUGUAAAAAGGUAAAGAUUAAUCUCUUCUCCUAAAUUACAGAUGGUAGGACAAAUGGAAAUGGCCUCAAGUUUCACCAGGGCAGGUUUACAUUGGAUAUAUGAAAAAUUUCUUCAAUGAGUAGUCAGACAUUGAAAAAAGUUGCCCAGGCAAGAGGUGAAAUUACCAUCCCUGGAAGAGUUCAAUAAACAUAUAAAUGUGACACUGGAGACAUUGUGAAUGGUGAACACGGAAGUGCUGGGUUAAGGGUCAGACUCAAUGACCUUAAGGGUCAUUUCCAACAUUAAUAAUUCUGUGAUUCUGUGGAUUUGACUGUAAACCAAGAAUGGAGCCUGCAGUGUGGGCCUUACCCAGGCUGGUCUUACAGGCCUUCGAGGCAAAUGGGGCCACAAUGAAAGGGGAUCAGGCUGAAUGGGCCCCUUCACAGGUUGCAGAAGUAACCAGGGUCAGGGGGCAGCUGGGACACACUGGAAGCAGUGCUGUGCGGUGGCCUGGCUUAGGAGAGAUAAGCACCAGGUCCCUGGGGCUGUCUACCCACAGAGGUUGAUCAGAGCUGAUGGUGUCACCCUUUGUCUGCGUUUGUCAUGCUGUCCUCACUGACACCUAUCGAGCUCGUUGCAGCAUAAGGAACAGGAGAAAAAAAGCAAUAAUCUGUCAUGACAGACUAUCAUGUGCCUGCCUGGGAUGUCCUCAGCAGAGAGAGUCUGGCAAGUGCUGUUGCUACUCACGGCCGACACACUGAACCUGCGCUGCACAGAUGUCGCACAGGGACUGGCAUGGUAUGCUCACACUAUGGGGAAUCACUAAGAUUACUGCUCACAGCUUGUACAGCUCUGUCUACCCAGACACAUGGAAUCCCAAACACAGCAAAUCCUCAAAGGCGUCCAAGGGGAAAAGGAGAAUCUGGGAAAACACACUGUCAAAAAUGGCCGUCAUUUUAACCAGGGCUAUGGAAGGAUGGAGGAAAAGAGCAAAAUCGAGGAACAGCAAUGAAAAGCAUACUGGGCUUUUCUGGGAGCUGGUAGUAUAAAGCCCUGCUCUGCACUUUAAAAGGUGUUUACUAAAUCCGCACUUUGCUUUCUGAGGGCUUUCUCCACAUUCUUCCUAUGCCCUUUUGGGUUAAGGAGUAGCUACAUUGUGUUUCUUCAAAGUCUACCACAAUAAGGCUGAUUUUUCUCAGUUUUAAAUCUAUUUCUAAAAAUAAGUAUGGUCAGCUGCCACAUUUUGACACUACUGUAGAAAGGUGAAGGGCAUGCUAACUGAACUUCAUGAAGUCUGCUUUUUAUGGAUCUAACAAAGACUAAUAUGGAAAAUGUAGACCCUCAUGUUUUAUCUCAAUUUAAUUCUGUAGAUGGGGUAAACAGAUGGUGUGCACCUUACUGUUUUAAUCACUGAAAUUAAACAUUCAUUUUGAUAUAUCAGCUCACUAUAAUAGAAAUAAAUAUUUUGCUACACUAUAUUUUUGCUGUCCAAAGGUAUUUGGUUUAAACUUCUACACCACAAUCCUGUUUUAAGCUCUUUGCUACAAAUCCCAAGAUUGGGAUGACACCACUAUUCCGUGCACACCUUUUAUUUCAGUGAGCACUACCACCUAACUCUUUUCUUGCACCCUGUGCUGCUGCCUCUAUUAACAUGAUAUAAACACCUGACCAUCUAAUUUUCAUAUUCUUAUACAAUAUUGAAUGUAAUGAAAUGUCCUGAGGCUACAAGCACUACCACAGUAGGGAAAAAGUAACUACAGGAACGCCAGUAAUGCAAUUAGUAGCCAUGAAUUUUGCUGAUGUGAUGUACCCUUAGCAGCACGUCCAGCUCCUGUGGUAUUGUGCAACUGAGAGUUGUGGACAGAAAUGUUAAGAUAGUUUCCUGAUUGAGAUUGCUACUGCCUAAGAGACCACCUUGAAAACUUGAUCCUUACAGCUUAAAAUAACCUGAACUUUUCUUCAGAAUUCUGUACAGAUUUAAGCUAGGCUGCUGAAGAAGUAGGAGCUGUUAUUAAUCUGUCUGGAAAAAAAUAUACAGGGAUACUAAUGAAAAAAGUUCUGCUCAGUCAACUUCCAUCUAGGAUUUAGUUUCAGUAGAUAGCUUAAUGAAGAUGAAAAACAUUUGCCUCUGAUACUGGUAUAGAUACAGGAACAAGGACAAUUUUGUUUUAUGCUGUUUUAUGGGCAUUUUCUUCUAAUUCCUGUUACAGGAUUUACAUAUAUAUAUACGUUUUUUACCCUUUUGCUACUGUUGGAACUCUUCAUGUGACAUUGAAAUGUAACAUUUUUUUGGCUUGUCUUUGAUCUUUGAACAUUAAUUUUUGAGUUGCAUUUUUAAAAUUAAACUUUUUCAGUUUAUUUUCCAGGUGGAAAGACUAUCCCACUAACAAGUUCUUGUUUCUUGUCCUCUACAUUUAUUAUUGAGUAGGUUCUCCAAAACCAUGUGUGCUUUUCUCCAUGAUCAGUUCAAAUUCCAGGGCUUCUUUUACUUUCUCCUUCCAGUGACUGUGUUUUAAACCAUUUUCUUUCAAUCUGUACAAUUUGCUUCUACUGCAGGUUGUGUACAUUCCUCUCCUCAGAGAGAGAUAGUGUAUAUUUCACAAUGAGACAAAAUAAGAAUAAUCAGUAGGUGAUUUUUUGCCAAGGCAGAGAGCAGCUGUAGGAGCUAGGUAAACAAAUGUGAAAUCAGGCCAAACUGCAAUGAAACAAAAGUUCUUCUAGCUGCAGAGAAUGCUGGAUCCUCUGCUAGUCUUUUAUUGCUUGAUUUAUUAACAUACAGACCAUAUCUAACAAUAUCCACAUAUUUAACAUAUGUGUAAUCACUUUUACAACAGAAAAUAGACUUAUUUUUCACAGUCAUGGCCUAAAUGUAUCUUUAGGUUUGUCUCGUAUCCCAGUACGUUUGGGAAUGGCUUUCUUUGUGUCUCAUACAUUUACACUGAAAGGGAUGCAUGAAAUUAGACAGAUCUGUCUCAGGUUUUGUAUUAACAGAUUCUGUGCGUUUUGUAAUAUAUCUUAACCUGUAAAUCAAAGCUAGACAGAAUUAAAAUGUCUGCAGGCACAGUUGUAUGCAGUUUGAGUUUGUGUUUCACAGAAAAAGCAAUGUCUCACACUGAACUGCUAGUAAGGAAAUAACUACACUGGUUCAGCACACCUUCAACCUGACCUCCAUUCCAUCCACCCUGUAGUCUUUGCUAUCUCUUACCACCAAAACAGCACAGGAGUCUCAAGCAUGAAGUGUUAUCAGUGCCACAGCAGAUGAAGCUGUUGCAGUUGUUCCAGAAGCAUUGCCUGGGGCUGUCUGCCUUGCCCAUGUGGUGUAGGAGCUGCUGUAGCCAGUGCACCAGUGGGCACAGUGUAGAUAUGAGUGGGCACUCAGGAUUUGGUAUGUUGUGGCUCCCCAGCUGGUUUAAACCUGACACAUUAGUUUGCACAGUUUGAGUUCAGUGAUAGUCGUUUAAGCUGCUGUACCAGAGUCUGAGGUGCAAUGGCAGAGAGCCACCACACAGCUGCUGCUGUUGCGUCACCUGUGGGCAAGAAUCUCCCAAAAGUUGUAACACAGAUCUAUGAGAAUGAAACUCCCCAUGCACUGCAAAUAUGCCUUUUGGUAUAUUUGAACCUGCAGGGUAUUUUUUCAGGAGUUGUUUGCCAUGGCUGCUGGUCCCAGAGUACUGACUGAAUGGGUACGGAUGGCUGGAAAGGACCGCUGACCAAGCUCUUCUUGUCCAUUGGUGGUGUUAACGUCACCAGAACUGUGUGAGGCUGUUUUGUAACAAAGUGCUGCAU